GACGAACGCUGGCGGCGUGCUUAACACAUGCAAGUCGAACGGAAAGGCCCUGCUUUUGUGGGGUGCUCGAGUGGCGAACGGGUGAGUAACACGUGAGUAACCUGCCCUUGACUUUGGGAUAACUUCAGGAAACUGGGGCUAAUACCGGAUAGGAGCUCCUGCUGCAUGGUGGGGGUUGGAAAGUUUCGGCGGUUGGGGAUGGACUCGCGGCUUAUCAGCUUGUUGGUGGGGUAGUGGCUUACCAAGGCUUUGACGGGUAGCCGGCCUGAGAGGGUGACCGGCCACAUGGGGACUGAGAGACGGCCCAGACUCCUACGGGAGGCAGCAGUGGGGAAUAUUGCACAAUGGGCGGAAGCCUGAUGCAGCAACGCCGCGUGCGGGAUGACGGCCUUCGGGUUGUAAACCGCUUUCGCCUGGGACGAAGCGUGAGUGACGGUAAGGGGUAAAGAAGCACCGGCUAACUACG
RNAcentral lists this ribosomal RNA (466 nucleotides) under uncultured bacterium. RNAcentral describes it as "partial 16S ribosomal RNA". It matches the Rfam family "Bacterial small subunit ribosomal RNA", at positions 28 to 505 of the family's 1533-position model. The record is from RNAcentral.